GGCUUUGUACCUCACCUAGUAGAGCGCUGGCUGCAUUGAGGCAUGCUGUGUCUGUCGCUGGUUCGAAUCCAGCCGAAGCCC
RNAcentral lists this transfer RNA (81 nucleotides) under Paragonimus westermani. RNAcentral describes it as "tRNA-Leu". It matches the Rfam family "tRNA". From Rfam's summary of the family: Transfer RNA (tRNA) molecules are approximately 80 nucleotides in length. Their secondary structure includes four short double-helical elements and three loops (D, anti-codon, and T loops). The record is from RNAcentral. Lineage: Eukaryota; Metazoa; Platyhelminthes; Trematoda; Plagiorchiida; Troglotrematidae.